AUACUUACCUGGCAGCGGAAACACCAUGAUCACGCAGGUGGUUUUCCCAGGGCGAGGCUCCUCCAUUGCACUUGGGAGGUGCUGACCCUUGCGAUCUCCCUAAAUGCGGGAGUCUCGGCUGCAUAAUUUGUGGUAGCGGUGACUGCGUUCGCGCUCUCCCCGG
Small nuclear RNA from Ictidomys tridecemlineatus (thirteen-lined ground squirrel), 163 nucleotides. Its record names the gene U1. It matches the Rfam family "U1 spliceosomal RNA". From Rfam's summary of the family: U1 is a small nuclear RNA (snRNA) component of the spliceosome (involved in pre-mRNA splicing). Its 5' end forms complementary base pairs with the 5' splice junction, thus defining the 5' donor site of an intron. NCBI's taxonomy places the organism in Eukaryota, Metazoa, Chordata, Mammalia, Rodentia, Sciuridae. The record is from Ensembl.